Molecule: ribosomal RNA, 773 nt
Filed under: uncultured Neocallimastigales
Lineage: Eukaryota; Fungi; Neocallimastigomycota; Neocallimastigomycetes; Neocallimastigales
Description: partial large subunit ribosomal RNA
Rfam family: Eukaryotic large subunit ribosomal RNA
Source: RNAcentral
UACUAGAGUAGCACUCGCAUAUCAAUAAGCGGAGGAAAAGAAACUAACAAGGAUUCCCCUAGUAACGGCGAGUGAAGCGGGAAGAGCUCAAAUUUGAAAUCUUAAAGGGUUUCCCUUUACGAAUUGUAGUUUAAAGAAGUGUUUUCUGUUGAGGUUUUGGUAAAAGUUCUUUGGAAUAGGACAUCAUAGAGGGUGAGAAUCCCGUAUUUGACCUUUACUUUCAACUUUGUGAUACACUUUCAAUGAGUCGGAUUGUUUGGGAAUGCAGUCCAAAAUGGGUGGUAAAUUUCAUCUAAAGCUAAAUAUUGGCGAGAGACCGAUAGCGAACAAGUACCGUGAGGGAAAGAUGAAAAGAACUUUGAAAAGAGAGUUAAACAGUACGUGAAAUUGUCAAAAGGGAAGCGUUGACACCAGUGUUAUUUUUCUGAAAAUCAAUUAAAGAACUGUUUAUGCUAAGUUGUUUAGACUUUAUCAGCUAUCUGUUUAGUUUUGAGCUUUUCUUUAAUGCACUUUUCAGUUAACAAGUCAACAUCAAUUUCUUUUGCUGUAAAAAAGCUUGAGGAAGGGUGGCUUGAGAUUCGUCUUAAGUGUUUAUAGCCUCUUGCCUAUGCAGUCGGAGAGAUUGAGGUCUGCAGCGUAGAUCCUUCGGGGCUAAAUGCAUUUGUGCUAAGUUAUAGCAUUUUAUAGACAACUUGUUGACUAUGAUUUGUCUUGUAGCUUACUCGCUUAUGUUAUUUUACCUACGCUUAGGAUGUUGAGCGCAUGUCUCUCUC